CUUUUGGUUGUGUGUGGCCAUAAUUUCUUACUAUCAGGUUGUAGCCCUGUGAGGCAUUGUUAUUGUGGUUUGUUGUGACAGGAUGGUAGUGCUAUAUUACAGGGGAAACUUUCGUGAAAUUUUCGUAGAAUUCCCGAGAAAUUAACAUUCGUGGACGAAUUUUUUAAAAGGGGGGAAGAAUGUUACACCUCAGAGAAUUUCAUGUCAUCGUAUGGUAGCUAGACUAACGCAGUGUGAGAAGUAUAUGAUGUUUCUAUAAGUAAGAAGUAGUAAUUAAGAUUUCAAAGACAUUUGAAGCAAGAAAGGAAAGUUCAUUAAGAAAGGCGAAGUAUACGUUGUGUUUCUGAAGAGUUUUUCAAAGUGUCGAACUAAUGAUGAUUUAGUAAUGCUUUGAGGCAUAGUUAUGAUGCCCCUUAGAUUGAUAAUGAAGUGUUAAACAAGUGCUAAGAAGAUUCUAUAAGGAUUGGAGAUCAAACGAAGCGAUGAGAACAAGAUUGGAGAAGAAGUGGAUUAUACGACCAUUUAUACGGUCCGUAUAAUGGUCCAUAUAACCAUUACAGUGAGGGUGCAUCACUAAUGGAGUUAUACGGUCACAUAACGGACCGUAUAAUGUGUCGUAUAAUGGUUACAGAAAUGAGAUGUUUUUGGAGCGAUUUCACGGCCACUUAUAUGGACCGUAUAAGUUUAUACGGACUGUAUAAGUGUCUGUAUAAUUUCCCGACGGGUCAGAUUUUCCAAUUAUAAAUAUAAGACCCCAUGUUAUUAUUUUCAUUUCCCUCACUUCUUCACUUCUCUCUAACCCUCUAGAAUAUUCCACACACUUCUUUUACAAGAAUCUAAGACUAAACAAGAAUCAACUUCAUCAAACUAAGGAAUUCAAGUGUAAGAAAGCUAUUGAGGGUUGCUUGAAGUCAAGAAAUCUCUUGGAUUGAAGCUAGGGUUUUUAUUCAAGUGGAGUAUUGCUAUCCAAAACCCAUUCCUACACUAUCAAAAGGUAAUUUUUAUGAUCAAUUCAUGUUAUUUGGAGUAGUGAGGGGUUGAAAGACUUGGAUUGUGGAAGAAAAUAGGAAAUGGGUUACAAAUAUGAGAAUAGUGACAUUUUUGAGUAGUAGCUUAAUAUGAAUCAUGAUUUUUUGUAUUUUACGAGUAUAGUUAUGUUAUAAAUGAUAUUAAGAACAUAGGAGCAACAUUACACGGGGAAGAAUGUAAUGUAGUAUUAUGACCAUGGUAUGGAUGCCCUUGAAAUGGAAAUAGGAGAAUUGAAUAAUGUAUGGUUGAUGAAGAUUAUUGAGUAUGAUAUUAUGGAUAUUGUUAUUAACGUUUGGGAGUUGGUAUAUGAUAUGGAGAAAGUUGUAUAAACAAAGGAGACGUUGCCCAAUUUUUCUCUAGCUUUAGUUCAUGCAUGCUUAAGUUGUCAAUUAUCUAAUGUUAGUACGAACUCUCUUGAAGGUAGAAACGUGAAUAUUGGAGGGGAACGUUCAAGGGAUAAAGUAGCUAAACGAAAAGUAUGUAAGGCUAGUCCCUUCUUUCCUAAGGCAUGAUUCUUAUGACAUGAUUUUCCCUAUUCUCCAUGACCUUCUUACAUUCCGGAAAUUAUGAGUCUAUGAUGAUGAUGAGUCUAAGUCUAAAGAUUCUAAAGCCCAUGAUAUGAUGUUUCUACAAAGAUAAUGAUCCUAAUUAUGAUUCUUUGAUGUUGUUCAUUGUGUUACACUCACCUUAUAAUGCUAGUUCCGUCAAGGUGAGGCAGAAUACUCAUGAAUACUCCAUAAUGGAAUCGGGAGUUCACGACCUUACGUUACCCCGAUAGAGUACAGUUGUCUUUGAGUUCUUAAGCAUGCUCCAUGAUAAGUCUGUGAGGAUGAUAUUACACCGCGCCUAUAUGGUCGGGCAGACACCGCUAAGGCGGGCGGCAUAUACACCAUGUCUAGAGGGCAUGGCAGACACCACUAGUGGGUGGCAUGAGAUGUUUACCCCGGACGCGAUAGGCCUGGACGCGGGCUAAUGAUGGUCACACCGUACCUAUAUGGUCGAGCAGCCUAUAUAUGCAUACAUGAUAUGAUGAUGUUUAUGAAGUAAGUUAACAUGCAUUAUUACGUGUGGGUAAGUUGUGCCCCAUGAUGAUGUCAGUGUACGUUUUUGUAUAUCAUUUUUGUAGCCGUACGGGCUUAUGUAUAUCCAUGUAUAGCUUUGGGGUUUAUAUUUAUGUUCAGUUGAGUAUGAUGACUAGCAGGAUGAGUGGUGCUCGGUAAUCAGCUCUGGAUACCCGUCAUGGUCCCCUGGCCGGGUCGUGACAACCCCGUCGUGCCCAAAUAUAUACACAAAAGAAUAUGACCAUAAGUAUCACCUCCGGAGUAGUGGAGUGCUCCUGUGGUUCCGCUGAUAAGCUCCUACGGGUCUGCACCGUCUCCCUGUCUACAUGUGGGCAUGAACACAGUGUCCAAAAGAAAAGGACGUCAGUACGAAAAGUGUACUGAGUAUGCAAGGCAUGAAUAAUACUAACAUAAUAAAGAAAUAAUAAAACAUGAGGCGAAGAUAUAACCUGCUUAACUUUUAAGAGAAAACACAUGUUAUACAUAUCAAAUAUACCAUCAUCGUUAAACCGCGUCCGGGUAACUAUCAUACGCCGCCCACUAGUGGUGUCAUGUCCGACCCUUUAGGCACAGGGUAAUCAAAGAAGCCCGCCUCAGCGGUGUUAUGUCCGGCCAUCGAGGCACAGUGUAAUCAUAGUAGCCCGCCUUAGCGGUGUCAUGUCCGGCCAUCAAGACACGGUGUAAUCUCAUCAUUAUAUACUUAUCAUAAAGCAUGCAUUAUAAAUCAAUUAAAUACUACAACUCUAUCGGGGUGACGUAAGGUCGAGAACCCCCGAUUCCAUUAUAGAGUAGUCAUGAUCAUCGUGUCUCACCUUGAAGGAACUAGCAUUAUAAGGUGAGUCUAGCAACAAUGAAUAACAUCAAAAAAUCAUAAAAGGGUCAUUAGCUUCAUAGGAAUAUCAUAUCAUGGGCUUUAGAAUCUCUAAACUUAGACUCAUCAUCAUCAUCAUUAUCAUAUUCAUAACAUAUCUCUUGUCUUUUUCUCAUGAGAAGCUCUUAUUAAUCAUAGACUCAUAGUUUCCGGAAUAUGGGAACAUCAUGGAAAGUUAAAGAAAGUCAUAUUAUAGGAAUCAUGCCUUAGAAGAAAAGAAGGGACUAGCCUCACAUACCUUGAUGUCGCUCUAACUUUAUCAAUUAAGUGCUUUCCUCCAAUGUUCACGAUUCUACAUUCAAGAGAAAUUUGUACUAAGAUUAGAUAAUCGGAACUAUACUUAAGCUUAAGCUAAAGCUAACGAAAAUUGGGCAGCAUCUCCUUUGUUUCUACAACUUCCUCCAUAUGAUAUAACAACUCCCAAACAUCCAUAACAACAUUCAUAAUAUCGUAGUCAACAACCUUUUCAAGUUCGACGUUAUUCGAUUCCCAUAAUUUCUUAACAAAAUGAUUCAUGACCAUAACUAUAGCAUAGCACCAUAUUAGUUAUCAUAUUAUAUUUCCUUAACAUCAUUUGCAUCAUCUACAACAAGAUUUUACUCAUAAUAUAUCAAGAGUCAUGAUUCAUGUCAAGCUACUAUUCAAGAACACAAUUAUUCACAAUUGAGCUCUAUAUUCUACUUUCUUCCAUAAUCCAAGUCUUUCAACCCUUCAAUAUUCUAAAUAACAUGAAAUGAUCAUAAAACUCACCUUUGAUUAUGUAGGAACGGGCUUGGGAUGGAAACACCUCACUUGGAGAAAACCCUAACUUCAACUUCAAAGAGAUUCUUGACUUCUAACAACCCUAGAGAACUCCCUUGCACUUGAUUUCCUUGGAUUGAUUAUAUUGAUAUUUGAUUUCCCUUGAAUUUUUGUAAAUGAAGUGUGUGGAAUGUUCUAGAGGUGUAGAGAGAAGUGGAGAAGUUGAAAGAAUGAAAAUUUGGAAGUGGGAACAUGUUUUAUACUUGAAAAAUACUCAGCCCGUCGGGUGUUAUACGGACCCUUAUGCGGUUCGUAUAAUAUUAUACGGUCCGUAUAAGUGAUCGUAUUUCACCAUCAGGAAAAUCCCUUUUUCUGUUCGGUUAUACGAACCGUAUAAGUGGUCGUAUAACUCCACUUUCCUGAAAUUAUUUCUGUCGUUUCGUUUGAUCUCCAAUCCUUAUGGAACCUUCUUAGCACUUGUUUAACACUUCAUUAACAAUCUAAGGAGCAUUAUAACUCUUCCUCAAGACCAUAUUAAAUCAACAUUAGCUCGGUACUUUGCAAACCCCUUUCAAAACACGACUUAUACUUGACAUUCUUCACGAACUUUCUUCUCUUGCCUCAAACGUCUUCGGAAUCUUAAUUAGAACCGUUAAGUAACAUUUCUUACUUGUAGGGACAUCGCACGCAUCUCACCCUGCGUUAGUCUAUCUGUUACAUCCCGUGUUCUCAUGCGUUAGAAAAUGUACGAGUUAAAUGAUAUUAGUGAUGGACACGAGGUUAUCCCCCAAGCUUAUAGGUGGUUGAAGUGAUGGUACACAUGUAUCGUAAGGAUUUGAAGUUAAACCAAUCGAAGAAAAUAAGUUUUGUCGAGUUUCAACAUUUAUUUGAGUGAAAUAUGGUCCAAGUUAUAAUACCUCGUAUUUUUGGACUAGAACAUUUAAUCGUCCAACAUGAGCAAAUUUACCCGAGCCCGGAGAAUUCGAUCAUAUCCAAGGAUGAAAAUCAAGAGCUCGGUAUAUACAAGGAAUGAAGUCCCAAAAUAAUUUAGGACUUAACAAGUGUGACCACGGUGAUUGAGAAUAAUAUUUUGUGUGUACCAAAAGGGACUAUGGACUAGUGCUAUGUCACAUAAUCAUGACAAUGAGUAUAUGAAGUGUAUUAAAAAUAAUUAUUAUUAAAGUGAAUUGAGAUCAAGAAAUUAAUCAUGUGGAUAAUUGGUUAAAUGUUAGAAUAAAGUGGGAGACUAGAAAUUAAUUAGUGUAUUUUUGGAUAUGAAAUAAUGUGGAUAGCUAUUGAUGUGGGAGCACCCUUCCACGUGGCAAUAGGAGGCAAGAAACUAAUGAAUAUGCAUUUGCAUGGAUUCGGUGUCACCAUUUGGUGGAAGAUAAUUAUCAUGGGAUCAUUACGUGUAAGUGGGCUCCACACCCACUAAAAAAAGGGAUGGAUCAAUAUAAUGGAAGGUUUCACAAGGAAUUGAUGUACAUACAGAACGUUUUGUUUUUCUCCAAGGGAAAGGCACACAAAUGUAGCAAUCUUGUUCUUUAGGAAUUUACAUAGGUAACGAAUAUUACUGGUACUAAAGUGACUUUCACUUUUUAUCAAGCAACAUGGUUUUCCUUUUAGGCAGCAACAUGAAAAUUUCAUGAGGACAAAGUACAAUUCUCGUCGACAACAACAUACGGAUUUUGCUCACUACUUCGAUCUCAUUGUUCCGUUUUGUUGCGCUGUUUAACCCGGGCUUUCUUCGUAAUGAACUAAGGUGGAAGAAGAUUAAAUCUUGGCAUAUAAGAUUGAUGAAGCCCGAGACCUAAGUUAUGGUUAACUUGAGAAGCGACAAGGUACAGAUACUCGAUUUGGUGAUCCUCCAGCUUAGGAUUUCUACUCAGCUGUCUUGGAAAGCUCCAUUGUUCCGGAGCCUAGACUUUUGGUACAGAUCUUUUGAUGUAUAUGUAUAUAUGUUUAUCCAGGGGUACGGCGGGCCCUGUCCCGUCAUAUUUCACCGUUGAUACUCUUAGAGGUCUGUAGACAUAUGUGUGGGUUGUGUAUAAGUUUUGGUCCAGUUGUGUCUAUACGAUGUGCUAUGGAUAUGUUCGUCUGUUGUGGCAGCCUCGUCGGCUUGCAUAUGGUAUUGAUAUGUAGUGGCAGCCUUGUCGGCUUGCGUAUCAUAUUGACAUGUAAUGGCAGCCUUGUCAGCUUGUGUAUCAUAUUAUAUUUUGAUUAGUUGUGACUCCUCAGGAGACAGGUUAUCUGGAUACACAUAUAUGAUGACGUUAUGAACCUUCGAGGUUCUUUUGCAAGUUUCCA
This is a long non-coding RNA of Lycium barbarum (goji berry), 6009 nucleotides long. RefSeq lists it as uncharacterized. The record is from RefSeq and is a predicted model, not a curated record. Lineage: Eukaryota; Viridiplantae; Streptophyta; Magnoliopsida; Solanales; Solanaceae. The transcript is spliced from 3 exons.